ACUGGAUAUUACAAUCAUAUUUCCAUUUGCCAUUGGAUUGCUUUUAUCUUUCAUGACUACGGCUCUCUGCCUCUGCAGCAGGAGGAACAUAUCUGGAAACCAAAACCAGGACAGCAGAACAUUGACUUGGGUUCAAUACAACAUUAUGGAUGGGGCAAAGGCAGUUUCUUCACCAUUCCAAACUACAGCAAUGUGGAGGAGAACUGACAAGCAGGACAACGUGGAGGCAGUACUGAUGACCAGAGGAACAAUAAGCAAAUAACACCACUCAGGAAAUGACUGACGUAAAUAUAUUUAGUUCACACUUUGGUUUGAAGGAUUCAUCAAAAAGAUCCAGUUUGGAAGAUAUAACAUGUAUUUUAUUCUUAAAACUGGAAAUUCAAACAUGCAAUCUAAUGUAACUGUAACAUUUAACCUCUGUUUUCAACUGAAACAAUUUAUGAUGUUAGUGUCAUGUUUCUGAAAUGAUUUAUGAUGUUUCCUCUAAAUGUAUUUUUAUGUUACAAUGUGUCAAGUAUUCAAUAAUGGUACGCUUCGUGUCCCUUUAUAUUCUGAAAAAGCUUUCAAUGCACAUUCAUACAAUGUUUAUUUUAAUAGCAAUAAAUUCAGCUCAAUCAGACUCA
Poecilia latipinna (sailfin molly) is the source of this 623-nucleotide long non-coding RNA. RefSeq lists it as uncharacterized. The record is from RefSeq and is a predicted model, not a curated record. The transcript is spliced from 3 exons. NCBI's taxonomy places the organism in Eukaryota, Metazoa, Chordata, Actinopteri, Cyprinodontiformes, Poeciliidae.